Molecule: ribosomal RNA, 520 nt
Filed under: uncultured Glomus
Lineage: Eukaryota; Fungi; Glomeromycota; Glomeromycetes; Glomerales; Glomeraceae
Description: SSU rRNA
Rfam family: Eukaryotic small subunit ribosomal RNA
Source: RNAcentral
AGCAGCCGCGGUAAUUCCAGCUCCAAUAGCGUAUAUUAAAGUUGCUGCAGUUAAAAAGCUCGUAGUUGAAUUUCGGGACUAAUAUGUCGGUCGUGCCUCGGUACGUACUGGUAUUUUUGGUUUCUCCCUUCUGACGAACCUUGAUGUCAUUAAUUUGGUGUCUUGGGAAAUCAGGACUGUUACUUUGAAAAAAUUUAGAGUGUUUAAAGCAAGCUAACGCUUGAAUACAUUAGCAUGGAAUAAUGAAAUAGGACGUUCGAUCCUAUUUUGUUGGUUUCUAGGAUUGACGUAAUGAUUAAUAGGGAUAGUUGGGGGCAUUAGUAUUCAAUUGUCAGAGGUGAAAUCCUUGGAUUUAUUGAAGACUAACUACUGCGAAAGCAUUUGCCAAGGAUGUUUUCAUUAAUCAAGAACGAAAGUUAGGGGAUCGAAGACGAUCAGAUACCGUCGUAGUCUUAACCAUAAACUAUGCCGACUAGGUAUCGGAUGAUGUUAAUUUUUUAAUGACUCAUUCGGCGCCUUA